AUGUCGGACGACCGCCUUGCAAGCGUGGCCACCCUGUCCAGCCGCACUGCCGUCGCCAUCCGUGACGUCGUCCCUCCAGCGGCACAAGGAUGCUGGAGGACCGCGACAACCUUGUCCGGCGUCUGCCUGCCACUCGCGGAGGAGCCGCUCCACCUCCUGUUGCAUGGUGCGAAGGGCCGCCUUGGCCAGUGCCGACGGUGCCGGCGAAGCCCUAGCGGUGGCCUUGCCCCUGCCGGUGUUGGUGGAGCAGUACCUAAGCGAUCACUCCUCACCGAUCUUGGCGAGUUCCCCGUCAAGGCGGCGGCGGCACCUAAUAGUUGUCUUCGCGGUGGUGAUAGAGCGAUCGGGCACCCAUCCGGCGGCGAGAUAAGAGUCGUUACUGACCCAUUUCGGCGCCACGUCCGUCUUGGCGAACAUGUAGUGGCGACCGGCACUGCGCCGGUCGUACCUUGCCUGCCGCCUCAUCGCGUGCUCCGCCGCGCAUACCACAGCCCAAGAGCCAAAGGGACCGCCGUAAUCGCCUCCUCGGCCAUGCGCUUUCGCGAUCGUUUGGGCGCGCGGUCCGAAUCGCCAACUCGCGCUGUAUAUUUGGGGCGCCCGCUUCCGCGCGCGGCAGACACGAGCGCUCGCGCCGCACACUCUCCUCCCCGCCACCUUCGCCCCGCGCGCGCCGGCGCCGGCGAACUGGACCCGAUGGACGCACGCGCCGGCACCCCGCUCACCCCAUCCUACAGCCGCGACCCCUCCACCGUCGCUGCCGCCACCGCCGUUGCCGCCGCAAACCCUAGCGCGGGGAGCAAGAACAAGGCGGCGGACAGCUCCGGCACCUCGACGGUGAGGAGGAAGAAGCUUGCAGGGCGUGUGACGGGCGCGGCGGCUACCGAAGCGCCGGCGAGCUCACUCGUUGAGCGGGCGGCCGACGCGCACAACGUGUUCGACGAUAUGCCCCAAAGUCUCAACGAUGAUGCAUACAUGUCAACUAUGGGUGUUGGCUCCAACAAUUCGCAUUGGUCUCAAACCAAUGACAUGCAUUUCGAAGACCAUGAGUUCGAGGUGGACGAGGAUGGUGAGGGCAUUGUCAACGCGCCGAAAGGAAGAGCGGGCAAUUACACCAACGUCGAAGACAUCUUACUAUGCAAUACUUGGUUGCAAGUGUCGAGGGAUCCAUCCGUUGGAGGUGAUCAAAGUAGAGAUGCUUAUUGGGGGCGGAUGAAAGAACACUUUGAUGUUCGCAACGUGAGUGGAAUUGACCGCUCCGAGCGAUCUCUUCGGUCCCGGUGGUCGACAAUCAACAAGGAUUGUCAAAAGUGGGCGGCCGCACAAAAGGCGGUUGACAAGUUGAACCCAAGUGGCACCAAUGAGGAUGAUAGAUACAACAUUGCACAAAACUUGUUCAAAGGAGAGGAGAAGAGAACCAAGAAGGGGAAGAUCAAGAAAGGAAGGAUAUUUACCUUGCCUCAUUGCUAUGAAGUGUUCAAGGAUGAUGAGAAAUGGAAGAAGCGUGAUUCAAAGCCAAAACAACCGGAUGGGUGCAAGAAAGACGCAAAAGAAAAGAAGAAGAGGAAAGGAGAUGAUGAGCUCAAAAAUGCUAUGGAAGCUAUUGUGAAGGCAAGAAAAGAAGCCAACAAGGUGAGGAAAAUGGCAAGGAACCAAGAUGCCGUGGCCGAGGAGAGGAGGGUGGCGGCCGAGGAGAGGAAGGUGGCUUUGGAGGAGAGGAAGGUGAGCAAUGAGGAGCGAAUUAGAUUGUUGGAAUGGGAGAAGCACUUAUUCUUCUUAGACACAUCUAUCCUCAAUGAGGCGCAAAAGGAGUGGGUCAAUCUUGCCCUGAAGAAGUCUUGA
This 1839-nucleotide ribosomal RNA is filed under the name Triticum aestivum (bread wheat). Its description in RNAcentral is "partial small subunit ribosomal RNA". The record is from RNAcentral. Lineage: Eukaryota; Viridiplantae; Streptophyta; Magnoliopsida; Poales; Poaceae.